GACGAACGCUGGCGGCGUGCUUAACACAUGCAAGUCGAACGGAAAGGCCCUGCUUUUGUGGGGUGCUCGAGUGGCGAACGGGUGAGUAACACGUGAGUAACCUGCCCUUGACUUUGGGAUAACUUCAGGAAACUGGGGCUAAUACCGGAUAGGAGCUCCUGCUGCAUGGUGGGGGUUGGAAAGUUUCGGCGGUUGGGGAUGGACUCGCGGCUUAUCAGCUUGUUGGUGGGGUAGUGGCUUACCAAGGCUUUGACGGGUAGCCGGCCUGAGAGGGUGACCGGCCCCAUUGGUCCUGAGAUACGGCCCAGCCUCCUACGGGAGGCAGCCGUGGGGAUUAUUGCACAAUGGGCGGAAGCCUGAUGCAGCCCCGCCGCGUGCGGGAUGACGGCCUUCGGGUUGUAAACCGCUUUCGCCUGUGACGAAGCGUGAGUGACGGUAAUGGGUAAAGAAGCACCGGCUAACUACGUG
This 468-nucleotide ribosomal RNA is filed under the name uncultured bacterium. RNAcentral's name for it is "partial 16S ribosomal RNA". It matches the Rfam family "Bacterial small subunit ribosomal RNA", at positions 28 to 507 of the family's 1533-position model. The record is from RNAcentral.